This 418-nucleotide non-coding RNA is filed under the name Beta vulgaris subsp. vulgaris (sugar beet). Its description in RNAcentral is "Eukaryotic large subunit ribosomal RNA". It matches the Rfam family "Eukaryotic large subunit ribosomal RNA", at positions 1 to 419 of the family's 3401-position model. Lineage: Eukaryota; Viridiplantae; Streptophyta; Magnoliopsida; Caryophyllales; Amaranthaceae. The record is from Rfam by way of RNAcentral.
GUAUCUGAAAUCAAGCAGGAUCACCCGCUGAACUUAAGCAUAUCACUAAGCGGAGGAGAAGAAAUUAACUAAGAUUGCCCUAGUAACGGCGAGUGAAGCGGCAAAAGCCCAAAAUGUAAAUCUUGUGCACAUCGUGUACACGAAUUGUAAUCUAGAGAGAGUUUACUCAACGGGCGGGGUCGCAGAAGUGACCACGAACGGUCCGCCAGAGAGGGUGAAAGCCCCGUAUGUGGUGGCCCUGCUUAACGAGUAGGUUUUCGAAGAGUCGGGUUGUUUUGUAUUGCAGCCCUAAGUGGGAGAUAAACUUCUUCUAAGGCUAAAUAUUAAUGGGAAACCGAUAGCGAACAAGUACUGUGAAGGAAAGAUGAAAAGAACUUUGAAAAGAGAGUCAAAAGACUUGAAAUCGUUGAGAAGGAAG